RNAcentral lists this ribosomal RNA (139 nucleotides) under uncultured bacterium. RNAcentral's name for it is "partial 16S ribosomal RNA". It matches the Rfam family "Bacterial small subunit ribosomal RNA", at positions 355 to 511 of the family's 1533-position model. The record is from RNAcentral.
UAGGGAAUCUUCCACAAUGGGCGCAAGCCUGAUGGAGCAACACCGCGUGAGUGAAGAAGGUCUUCGGAUUGUAAAGCACUUUCGACGGGGACGAUGAUGACGGUACCCGUAGAAGAAGCCCCGGCUAACUUCGUGCCAG